GAUGAACGCUGGCGGCGUGCCUAAUACAUGCAAGUCGAGCGAACGGACGAGAAGCUUGCUUCUCUGAUGUUAGCGGCGGACGGGUGAGUAACACGUGGAUAACCUACCUAUAAGACUGGGAUAACUUCGGGAAACCGUAGCUAAUACCGGAUAAUAUUUUGAACCGCAUGGUUCAAAAGUGAAAGACGGUCUUGCUGUCACUUAUAGAUGGAUCCGCGCUGCAUUAGCUAGUUGGUAAGGUAACGGCUUACCAAGGCAACGAUGCAUAGCCGACCUGAGAGGGGGAUCGGCCAAGCUGGAACUGAGACACGGUCUAGACUCCUACGGGAGGCAGCAGUAGGGAAUCUUCCGCAAAGGGCGAAAGCCUGACGGAGCAACGCCGCGUGAGUGAUGAAGGUCUUCGGAUCGUAAAACUCUGUUAUUAGGGAAGAACAUAUGUGUAAGUAACUGUGCACAUCUUGACGGUACCUAAUCAGAAAGCCACGGCUAACUACGUG
This 497-nucleotide ribosomal RNA is filed under the name uncultured bacterium. RNAcentral describes it as "partial 16S ribosomal RNA". It matches the Rfam family "Bacterial small subunit ribosomal RNA", at positions 28 to 507 of the family's 1533-position model. The record is from RNAcentral.